This 256-nucleotide long non-coding RNA is filed under the name Daucus carota (carrot). Its description in RNAcentral is "long non-coding RNA (DCAR_LNC005513)". Lineage: Eukaryota; Viridiplantae; Streptophyta; Magnoliopsida; Apiales; Apiaceae. The record is from RNAcentral.
UUUGUUUGUUAAUUAAUUAUGGUUAAUUAUUAAUAUUAUAUGAUUAAUAUAUGAAUUUUUGUGAAUUUUGUGUUAUCUAGUUUAUUGAGCUGAAUACUCGUAUGUGUUCGUAUUUGAGAGAUUUCAAUUUCUAUAUGCUCAGGAGAAAAUAUAGUUUAUUUGGAUAUUUUCAUAUCGAUUUAUGGAAUGUUAGAUGAUUUUAUAAUCGAUUUACGGAUUUAAUUGCGUAUAUUUAUAUUUAAUUAUUGAUUAUUUG